GGAUUAUGGCUCAGCGGUAGAGUGUUGGCCUCACACAUGCAAAGCCCUGGGUUCAAUCCUCAGCACCA
Molecule: transfer RNA, 68 nt
Filed under: Marmota monax (woodchuck)
Lineage: Eukaryota; Metazoa; Chordata; Mammalia; Rodentia; Sciuridae
Description: tRNA.Val
Source: RNAcentral